AUCUGCGAUAAGCGCCGGUAAGGUGAUAUGAACCGUUAUAACCGGCGAUACCCGAAUGGGGAAACCCAGUGUGACUCGUCACACUAUCAUUAACUGAAUCCAUAGGUUAAUGAGGCGAACCGGGGGAACUGAAACAUCUAAGUACCCCGAGGAAAAGAAAUCAACCGAGAUUCCCCCAGUAGCGGCGAGCGAACGGGGAGGAGCCCAGAGCCUGAAUCAGCAUGUGUGUUAGUGGAAGCGUCUGGAAAGGCGCGCGAUACAGGGUGACAGCCCCGUACACAAAAGCGCAUGUGCUGUGAGCUCGAUGAGUAGGGCGGGACACGUGGUAUCCUGUCUGAAUAUGGGGGGACCAUCCUCCAAGGCUAAAUACUCCUGACUGACCGAUAGUGAACCAGUACCGUGAGGGAAAGGCGAAAAGAACCCCGGCGAGGGGAGUGAAAAAGAACCUGAAACCGUGUACGUACAAGCAGUGGGAGCACCCUUCGGGGUGUGACUGCGUACCUUUUGUAUAAUGGGUCAGCGACUUAUAUUCUGUAGCAAGGUUAACCGUAUAGGGGAGCCGUAGGGAAACCGAGUCUUAACCGGGCGUUAAGUUGCAGGGUAUAGACCCGAAACCCGGUGAUCUAGCCAUGGGCAGGUUGAAGGUUGGGUAACACUAACUGGAGGACCGAACCGACUAAUGUUGAAAAAUUAGCGGAUGACCUGUGGCUGGGGGUGAAAGGCCAAUCAAACCGGGAGAUAGCUGGUUCUCCCCGAAAGCUAUUUAGGUAGCGCCUCGUGAAUUCAUCUCCGGGGGUAGAGCACUGUUUCGGCUAGGGGGCCAUCCCGGCUUACCAACCCGAUGCAAACUGCGAAUACCGGAGAAUGUUAUCACGGGAGACACACGGCGGGUGCUAACGUCCGUCGUGAAGAGGGAAACAACCCAGACCGCCAGCUAAGGUCCCAAAGUCAUGGUUAAGUGGGAAACGAUGUGGGAAGGCCCAGACAGCCAGGAUGUUGGCUUAGAAGCAGCCAUCAUUUAAAGAAAGCGUAAUAGCUCACUGGUCGAGUCGGCCUGCGCGGAAGAUGUAACGGGGCUAAACCAUGCACCGAAGCUGCGGCAGCGACACUGUGUGUUGUUGGGUAGGGGAGCG
Molecule: ribosomal RNA, 1133 nt
Filed under: Salmonella enterica subsp. enterica serovar Virchow
Lineage: Bacteria; Pseudomonadati; Pseudomonadota; Gammaproteobacteria; Enterobacterales; Enterobacteriaceae
Description: partial 23S ribosomal RNA
Rfam family: Bacterial large subunit ribosomal RNA
Source: RNAcentral